Molecule: ribosomal RNA, 171 nt
Filed under: uncultured bacterium
Lineage: Bacteria
Description: partial 16S ribosomal RNA
Rfam family: Bacterial small subunit ribosomal RNA
Source: RNAcentral
CCUACGGGAGGCAGCAGUGAGGAAUAUUGGGCAAUGGGCGCAAGCCUGACCCAGCAACGCCGCGUGGAGGAAUGAAGGCCCUCGGGUUGUAAACUCCUUUUACGGGGGAAGAGGAAGGACGGUACCCCGAGAAUAAGUCACGGCUAACUACGUGCCAGCAGCCGCGGUAAU